CCUACGGGAGGCAGCAGUGGGGGAUAUUGCACAAUGGGGGGAACCCUGAUGCAGCGACGCCGCGUGGGUGAAGGAGGGUUUCGGCGCGUAAAGCCCUAUCGGCAGGGAAGAAGAUGACGGUACCUGACCAAGAAGCCACGGCUAACGACGGGCCAGCAGCCGCGGUAAUACGUAGGGGGCAAGCGUGAGCCGGAUUGACGGGGUGUAACGGGGGCGCAGACGGCAAUGCAAGCCAGGAGUGAAAGCCGGGGGCCCAACCCCGGGACUGCUCUUGGAACUGCAUGGCUGGAGUACAGGAGGGGCCGGCGGCAUUCCUAGUGUAGCGGUGAAAUGCGUAGAUAUUAGGAGGAACACCGGUGGCGAAGGCGGCCUGCUGGACUGUGCCUGACGUUGCGGCCCGCAGGCGUGGGGAGCAAACAGGAUUAGAUACCCCUGUAGUC
RNAcentral lists this ribosomal RNA (440 nucleotides) under uncultured bacterium. RNAcentral describes it as "partial 16S ribosomal RNA". It matches the Rfam family "Bacterial small subunit ribosomal RNA", at positions 338 to 795 of the family's 1533-position model. The record is from RNAcentral.